RNAcentral lists this microRNA (22 nucleotides) under Triops cancriformis. RNAcentral's name for it is "tcf-miR-10295". Lineage: Eukaryota; Metazoa; Arthropoda; Branchiopoda; Notostraca; Triopsidae. The record is from miRBase by way of RNAcentral.
UCACUGGGUGCGGUUCAUCCUG